This 64-nucleotide transfer RNA is filed under the name Cephalochlamys namaquensis. RNAcentral describes it as "tRNA-Gly". The record is from RNAcentral. Lineage: Eukaryota; Metazoa; Platyhelminthes; Cestoda; Pseudophyllidea; Cephalochlamydidae.
AUAUUGUUAGUAUAAUUAAAUAUGUUUCUUUUCCAAAGAAAAGUUCUAGGGUUUAGACAUUAUA